CUCUAGAUUGUUUUAAUUAAUACAUCAUUAAGCUAGAGCAAAAGCAUCACCUUUCAUAUACUUCAUCAUAUCGCAUCCAUGUUUACUGGUGAAAUGAAUGUGUGCAACAUUUUGUCUUUAAGUACAGUUAGUAAUAUUAUGUUAAUAUUUUUUCGAUAUUUGCUGUGUUGGUGUAAUGCACUCAGGUGAAUAAGACGCUUGUGAUGUUACUCUGAGUGUAUAUCCACACCGGGCAAGCUUGAAAAAUAUGCCUGGCCACGGUUGGAAUCGAACCUACGACCUUUGGAAUACUAACCCAUUUUUUCGAUUUUAAAAUAAAUAAAUUUUAUCAACAUCAAUUAUGUAGUGUGUGAUCUUUUUAUUAAUUUGUGAUGAGCAAGGGAAGACUAUACACCGAAAAUCAUGAAAACCAUACAUACCAUAAACCUCC
Molecule: non-coding RNA, 430 nt
Organism: Paramuricea clavata
Lineage: Eukaryota; Metazoa; Cnidaria; Anthozoa; Malacalcyonacea; Plexauridae
Source: the annotation of a GenBank genome assembly